GGAAGUAAAAGGUCGUAACAAGGUUUCCGUAGGUGAACCUGCGGAAGGAUCAUUAUUGUAUAACCGAGGUGCGAGGGCUGUCGCUGACCCGAAAGGUCGUGCACGCCCGAGUGCCCUCACACACAUCCAUCUCACCCCUAUGUGCACCACCGCGUGGGUCCCCCUUUGGCUUGUUCGGAGGGGGGCUUACGUUUCCACACAAACUUUGUAUGCAGUGUAGAAUGUAUUUUUUGUUUUUGCGAUCACGCAAUCAAUACAACUUUCAACAACGGAUCUCUUGGCUCUC
RNAcentral lists this unclassified non-coding RNA (286 nucleotides) under plant metagenome. RNAcentral describes it as "partial contains small subunit ribosomal RNA, internal transcribed spacer 1, and 5.8S ribosomal RNA". The stretch from base 1 to 55 matches the Rfam family "Eukaryotic small subunit ribosomal RNA", at positions 1778 to 1831 of the family's 1831-position model. The record is from RNAcentral.